This 579-nucleotide ribosomal RNA is filed under the name Psychrobacter sanguinis. RNAcentral's name for it is "bacterial SSU rRNA". It matches the Rfam family "Bacterial small subunit ribosomal RNA", at positions 109 to 688 of the family's 1533-position model. The record is from RNAcentral. Lineage: Bacteria; Pseudomonadati; Pseudomonadota; Gammaproteobacteria; Moraxellales; Moraxellaceae.
AGUAAUACUUAGGAAUCUGCCCAGUAGUGGGGGAUAGCUCGGGGAAACUCGAAUUAAUACCGCAUACACCCUACGGGGAAAAGGGGGCGCUUGCGCUCUCGCUAUUGGAUGAGCCUAAGUCGGAUUAGCUAGUUGGUGGGGUAAAGGCCUACCAAGGCGACGAUCUGUAGCUGGUCUGAGAGGAUGAUCAGCCACACCGGGACUGAGACACGGCCCGGACUCCUACGGGAGGCAGCAGUGGGGAAUAUUGGACAAUGGGGGGAACCCUGAUCCAGCCAUGCCGCGUGUGUGAAGAAGGCCUUUUGGUUGUAAAGCACUUUAAGCAGUGAAGAAGACUCUAUGGUUAAUACCCAUAGACGAUGACAUUAGCUGCAGAAUAAGCACCGGCUAACUCUGUGCCAGCAGCCGCGGUAAUACAGAGGGUGCAAGCGUUAAUCGGAAUUACUGGGCGUAAAGCGAGCGUAGGUGGCUUAAUAAGUCAGAUGUGAAAUCCCCGGGCUUAACCUGGGAACUGCAUCUGAUACUGUUAGGCUAGAGUAGGUGAGAGGGAGGUAGAAUUUCAGGUGUAGCGGUGAAAUG